AGGCAAAGCUAGGCUAGGUCUUGGAGGCUGGUGUGAGGCGGUGCGGGUAAGGCAGGAGCAGGCUGAUGGAAGAAGACACUGGCGGAAGAAAAGCCGAAAUGGAUUCUCCGUGCCUUGGAUGGAGGAAGAGGGGGACGUGCGAGCUCCUUCAACUCAUUCCGUCCGGUGAGGAGUGAUCCAGCUUGGGCUGACAAGAGGCUCCGGGGGCCCUCACGUUCAGUGCUUUUUUACCUGCCAAUCAAACUGCUACAAGACAACACCCUGUUCUGGCAUGGACGC
This 279-nucleotide long non-coding RNA is filed under the name Peromyscus maniculatus bairdii (prairie deer mouse). Its description in RNAcentral is "SOX2 overlapping transcript exon 3 (ENSPEMG00000005962.2)". It matches the Rfam family "SOX2 overlapping transcript exon 3". Rfam says of the family: SOX2 overlapping transcript (SOX2OT) is a long non-coding RNA, containing at least 5 exons. The SOX2 gene, an important regulator of neurogenesis, lies within one of the introns of SOX2OT. Lineage: Eukaryota; Metazoa; Chordata; Mammalia; Rodentia; Cricetidae. The record is from RNAcentral.